RNAcentral lists this long non-coding RNA (2943 nucleotides) under Homo sapiens (human). RNAcentral's name for it is "non-protein coding lnc-CRYZL1-2:1". Lineage: Eukaryota; Metazoa; Chordata; Mammalia; Primates; Hominidae. The record is from RNAcentral.
UAUGUUACUCAGUCUGGUCUCAAACUCCUGGCCUCAAGCCUCUCACGGUGCUGGGAUUACAGGGCUGAGCCACUGUAUGCAUCCAAAAGUAAUUUUCUAUGUGGUUGUUGUAGGGAUUAAAAUCUCCAAAUUAAUUUAUCAUAAUCAACUUCUAAUGGCAGAAUAUAGAAACUUUACACAAAUAUAGCUCAAUUCCCUUUCUCCUCUUCUGUGCUAUUACUGUCACAUACAUUAUAAUAUGUUAUAAGCCCAAUAAUAGAGUUAUAAUUAUUACUUUAUACAAUCUUAUAUCUUUUAAACUUGAGAGAAAAGAAGAAAAAUAGAUUUAUGUGGUCUUCUAAAUUAACCUACAUAUUUACCAUUUUUGAUGCUCUUCAUUUCUUUCCAUAUAUUAAAGUUACCACCUUUUGUCAUUUCAUUUCAUCCUGAAAGUCUUCAUUUAGUAUUUCUUCUAAGGUAGGUCUAGUAGCAAUGAAUUCUCUCAGUCUUUGUUUAUUUGAAAAAGUCAUUAUUUCACCUUCAUUUUUAAAUGAUAGUUUUGCUGAAUAUAGAAUUUUGGGUUGAAUUUUUUCUUGCGGCAUUUUGAAUAUUCCACUGCCUUCUAACCUCCAUUGUUUUCAAUUACAAGUCUGCUGUUAUUUAUAUCUAUGCUCCCCUAUCCAUGAUGAGUUGCUUUUCUCUUGCUGCUUUCAAGGUUUUAUCUCUGUGUUUGGCUUCCGUAGGUUAACUAUGAUGUGUCUGGGUGUAGAUCUCUUUGUAUUUACCCUACUUGAGGUGUGUUGAGCUUUUGAUUGUGUAGACUAUUGCUUUUCACCAAAUUUGGCAAGUGUUUGGCUUUUAUUCUUCAAAUAUUUUUCUGUACCUUUCUCUCAUGAUCCUCCUUCUAAGACUCCCAUGACACACAUAUUGGUAAACUUGGUCUUGUUCCAUAAGUCUCUGAAACUUUGUUAUUUUUUUUCAAUCUUUUUGUUCCAUAUUCUUCAGAUUGAAUAAUUUCUAUUGAUUAAUCUUCAACUUCACUGACUCUGUCUUCUGCUAUCUUGAAUCUGCUAUUAAGACCCUGUGGUAAAUUUUUCAUUUUAGUUAUUGAACUUUUCAGGUUUUGUUUUUGUUUUGAGACAAGGCCUCACUCUGUUGCCCAGGCUGGAGUGCAGUGGCGUGGUCUUGGCUCACUGCAGCCUCCACUUCCCGGGUUCAAGUUAUUCUCCUGCCUCAGACUCCCCAAUAACUGGGAUUACAGGCAUCUGCCACCACGCCCAGCUAAUUUCUGCAUUUUUAGUAGAGACGGGGUUUCGUCAUGUUGGCCAGACUGGUCUCCAACUUCUAACCUCGGGUGAUCCGCCCACCUCAGCCUCCCAAAGAGCUGGGAUUACAGCCGUGAGCCACCGCUCCCAGCCUUAGUUAUUGAACUUUCCUUUUUUUUUCUGUGACAGAGUUUCACUCUUGUUUCCCAGGCUGGAGUAUAAUGGCGCAAUUUCGUCUCACUGUAACCUCUGCCUCCCGGCUUCAAGGGAUUCUCCUGCUUCAGCCUCCCACAUAGCUGGGAUUAUAGGCGCCUGCCAUCAUGUCCAGCUAAUUUUUUGUAUUUUCAGCAGAGACGGGGUUUCAUCAUGUUGGCCAGGUGGGUCUCGAACUCUCUACCUCAGGUGAUCCACAGGCCUCGGCCUCCCAAAGUGCUGGGAUUACACGUGUGAGCCACUGUGGCCGGCCAGUUAUUGAACUUUUCACAUCAAUUGUCAUACUUUUCUAGAAUUUCAAUUUUCCUCUUUUUUGUAAUUUCUAUUGUUUUUUGGAGAGUGUCUGUCUGUUGAUUCAUUUCCACGUUUUCCUUUAGUUCUUCAGUUCUUUGAACGUAAUUGCUGCUUUGAAGCCUUUGUCUGCUAAAUGAAUCCAACAGCUGGAUCAGAGAUAGUUCCUACUGACUGCCUCUUUUCUUGAGGGUGAGACAAUACUUUCCUGUUAUUUUUUAAUGUCUCAAAUUUAGGUGAAAAUGGACAUUCAGAUAAUACAUUGUAGCUACUCUGGCUCUGAUUUUCCCCCUGAAGGUUGUUGUUUCUAUCUUUAUUUAGUAACCGGCAUAGGCUAAUUCAGAAAAAUCUGUCUUCCCUUGUUGUGCAGCCCCUGAUGGUUCUGCUCAGUUGGGUUUUUAAAAAAUUCGUUUUUAUCUUUAAGCCUGGCUUUUUACGGAUUGCACCUGCAUCUUUGUAGCACAGUAGUCAGCCAAUGAUGGGACGGAAGUUGUGCUCAAACACCUCAAGUCAGUAAGGCUUCCUUUCUCUGACAAUCUGUCAGCACAAAAAUGCAUUCAAAGUUCAGACCAUUUUAAAGUCUUCCUCAACUUUAACAUUUCACAGGGCCUUUCUGCAUAUUCUCUAUACGUGCAUGCAGUUUGAGGGCUAGUCAGGAGUUUGCAGCUGACUCGGGCCCACCCUGGUCUCCGCGACACAUGUGCAUAGCCUCAGCCAAGAAUAUACUUGCCCUGGCCAUGACCACGAGUUCAGGAUAAUAGAGUGGCUGGUCAUACCUGCUCUUCUGUGGCCAGAAUUGUCAUUUCCACUGACAAAGCUGCUGGGCACAGGCAUGACUUCCCACUCCCAAAGCAAGUAAGCCCCCUUCAGUGACAGCAGUUAAGACUGCUAAUAUUUACAACCUGUCCCUCCACAUUACCAAGCUGAAGUGUUGGGGGAUAGGAAAAUGCCCAGGAAAGAAUGCAACAGACUUCUGCUUCAUAUCUGAAGCUCAGCAGCUUUUCAGGCAUAAAUGAUUCUCAGAUGUUAUAUACCUUUGGUUAAUUUCCAGAGCACUGAAAUGGUUAUUCUGUCAAUUCUGCCCUUGAGGGAAGAAUUUGCUCAUCUCAACUCAGGCAUGGUCGGAAAUCUCACUGCUGAAAUGUCUUUUAGGUUUCCUUUAAUCCACAGUCCCCUCUCCAUCCUUUUCAUUUUC